Molecule: ribosomal RNA, 948 nt
Filed under: uncultured bacterium
Lineage: Bacteria
Description: bacterial SSU rRNA
Rfam family: Bacterial small subunit ribosomal RNA
Source: RNAcentral
CANGGNCGGCAGCUACACAUGCAGUCGAGCGGUAGAGAGAAGCUUGCUUCUCUUGAGAGCGGCGGACGGGUGAGUAAUACCUAGGAAUCUGCCUGAUAGUGGGGGAUAACGUUCGGAAACGGACGCUAAUACCGCAUACGUCCUACGGGAGAAAGCAGGGGACCUUCGGGCCUUGCGCUAUCAGAUGAGCCUAGGUCGGAUUAGCUAGUUGGUGAGGUAAUGGCUCACCAAGGCUACGAUCCGUAACUGGUCUGAGAGGAUGAUCAGUCACACUGGAACUGAGACACGGUCCAGACUCCUACGGGAGGCAGCAGUGGGGAAUAUUGGACAAUGGGCGAAAGCCUGAUCCAGCCAUGCCGCGUGUGUGAAGAAGGUCUUCGGAUUGUAAAGCACUUUAAGUUGGGAGGAAGGGCAUUAACCUAAUACGUUGGUGUCUUGACGUUACCGACAGAAUAAGCACCGGCUAACUCUGUGCCAGCAGCCGCGGUAAUACAGAGGGUGCAAGCGUUAAUCGGAAUUACUGGGCGUAAAGCGCGCGUAGGUGGUUUGUUAAGUUGAAUGUGAAAUCCCCGGGCUCAACCUGGGAACUGCAUCCAAAACUGGCAAGCUAGAGUAUGGUAGAGGGUAGUGGAAUUUCCUGUGUAGCGGUGAAAUGCGUAGAUAUAGGAAGGAACACCAGUGGCGAAGGCGACUACCUGGACUGAUACUGACACUGAGGUGCGAAAGCGUGGGGAGCAAACAGGAUUAGAUACCCUGGUAGUCCACGCCGUAAACGAUGUCAACUAGCCGUUGGGAGUCUUGAACUCUUAGUGGCGCAGCUAACGCAUUAAGUUGACCGCCUGGGGAGUACGGCCGCAAGGUUAAAACUCAAAUGAAUUGACGGGGCCCGCACAGCGGUGGAGCAUGUGGUUUAAUUCGAGCACGCGAGANNUACCAGGCUUGACAUCC